GGCGCAAUAGGUUAGUGGUAGAGUCCCCGCUUCUCAUGCGGGGAGACCUGGGAUCGAUUCCCGGCUGCUUCC
Molecule: transfer RNA, 72 nt
Filed under: Toxocara canis (dog roundworm)
Lineage: Eukaryota; Metazoa; Nematoda; Chromadorea; Rhabditida; Toxocaridae
Rfam family: tRNA
About the family: Transfer RNA (tRNA) molecules are approximately 80 nucleotides in length.
Source: Rfam by way of RNAcentral